GUAGGGGGCGAGCGUUGUCCGGAUUUAUUGGGCGUAAAGAGCUCGUAGGCGGUUCGAUAAGUCGGACGUGAAAUCUCCACGCUCAACGUGGAGGGGCCGUUCGAUACUGUCGUGACUCGAGUCCGGUAGGGGAGUGUGGAAUUCCCGGUGUAGCGGUGAAAUGCGCAGAGAUCGGGAGGAACACCCGUAGCGAAGGCGGCACUCUGGGCCGGUACUGACGCUGAGGAGCGAAAGCGUGGGGAGCAAACAGGAUUAGAUACCCUGGUAGUCCACGCCGUAAACGUUGGGCACUAGGUGUGGGACUCUAUCGACGGGUUCCGUGCCGUAGCUAACGCAUUAAGUGCCCCGCCUGGGGAGUACGGCCGCAAGGCUA
This 373-nucleotide ribosomal RNA is filed under the name uncultured bacterium. Its description in RNAcentral is "bacterial SSU rRNA". It matches the Rfam family "Bacterial small subunit ribosomal RNA", at positions 527 to 896 of the family's 1533-position model. The record is from RNAcentral.